This 185-nucleotide unclassified non-coding RNA is filed under the name uncultured Cephalotrichum. RNAcentral describes it as "sequence contains ITS2". The record is from RNAcentral. Lineage: Eukaryota; Fungi; Ascomycota; Sordariomycetes; Microascales; Microascaceae.
CUGCCCUCGAGCCUGUCCAGCAUCUAGGUGCUGUUCGGGUUCGGCGUUGGGGCACUACGGGAAGCCUCGUGCUAUCCCCCGUAGGCCCCGAAAUGAAGUGGCGGUCCUGCCGCGGCUCCCCCUGCGUAGUAUUACAGCUCGCUUCGGGACCCGGUGGAGGCCUGCCGUCAAACCUUACUCUCUAA